AAGGUCUUCGGAUCGUAAAACUCUGUUAUUAGGGAAGAACAAAUGUGUAAGUAACUAUGCACGUCUUGACGGUACCUAAUCAGAAAGCCACGGCUAACUACGUGCCAGCAGCCGCGGUAAUACGUAGGUGGCAAGCGUUAUCCGGAAUUAUUGGGCGUAAAGCGCGCGUAGGCGGUUUUUUAAGUCUGAUGUGAAAGCCCACGGCUCAACCGUGGAGGGUCAUUGGAAACUGGAAAACUUGAGUGCAGAAGAGGAAAGUGGAAUUCCAUGUGUAGCGGUGAAAUGCGCAGAGAUAUGGAGGAACACCAGUGGCGAAGGCGACUUUCUGGUCUGUAACUGACGCUGAUGUGCGAAAGCGUGGGGAUCAAACAGGAUUAGAUACCCCUGGUAGUCCACGCCGUAAACGAUGAGUGCUAAGUGUUUAGGGGGGUUUCCGCCCCCUUAGUGCUGCAGCUAACGCAUUAAGCACUCCGCCCUGGGGGAGUACGACCGCAAGGGUUGAAAACUCAAAAGGGAAUUUGA
This 522-nucleotide ribosomal RNA is filed under the name Staphylococcus epidermidis. RNAcentral's name for it is "bacterial SSU rRNA". It matches the Rfam family "Bacterial small subunit ribosomal RNA", at positions 411 to 913 of the family's 1533-position model. Lineage: Bacteria; Bacillati; Bacillota; Bacilli; Caryophanales; Staphylococcaceae. The record is from RNAcentral.